GACGAACGCUGGCCGCGUGCUUAACACAUGCAAGUCGAACGGUGAUGCUCCAGCUUGCUGGAGUGGAUCAGUGGCGAACGGGUGAGUAACACGUGAGCAACCUGCCCCAGACUCUGGAAUAAGCGCUGGAAACGGCGUCUAAUACUGGAUACGAAACUGGCCCGCAUGGGCAUGGUUUGGAAAGUUUUUCGGUUUGGGAUGGGCUCGCGGCCUAUCAGCUUGUUGGUGAGGUAAUGGCUCACCAAGGCGACGACGGGUAGCCGGCCUGAGAGGGCGACCGGCCACACUGGGACUGAGACACGGCCCAGACUCCUACGGGAGGCAGCAGUGGGGAAUAUUGCACAAUGGGCGAAAGCCUGAUGCAGCGACGCCGCGUGAGGGAUGACGGCCUUCGGGUUGUAAACCUCUUUCAGCAGGGAAGAAGCGAAAGUGACGGUACCUGCAGAAGAAGCACCGGCUAACUACGU
RNAcentral lists this ribosomal RNA (467 nucleotides) under uncultured bacterium. Its description in RNAcentral is "partial 16S ribosomal RNA". It matches the Rfam family "Bacterial small subunit ribosomal RNA", at positions 28 to 506 of the family's 1533-position model. The record is from RNAcentral.